This 4379-nucleotide long non-coding RNA is filed under the name Marmota monax (woodchuck). Lineage: Eukaryota; Metazoa; Chordata; Mammalia; Rodentia; Sciuridae. The record is from RNAcentral.
GAGAAAUUUGCCUUCACUGUCCCAGCAAUUAAUUUUAAGGAACCUGUUAAAAGAUAUUGCUGGAAAGUACUUUCCCAGGGAAUGCGUAAUAGUCCUACCUUAUGCCAAAAAUAUGUAGACCAGGCGAUAGCUCCCAUAAGAAAUAACUUUCCUGAUGCGUAUAUUAUUCAUUUUAUGGAUGAUAUAUUAUUGGCUCAUGCUAAUCCAGAGGUACUUUCAGAAAUUUUUACUCAGUUAGAGGCUUCACUUAUAGCAAUGGGUUUAUGCAUUGCUCCUCAAAAAAUUCAAAAGAUGCCUCCCUUUCAAUAUUUAGGUCAGAUAAUUCAAGGACAUACAAUCCGUCCUCAAAAUCUUCAGAUAAGAGUUAAGGAGUUACAUACCCUUAAUGAUUUUCAAAAGCUAUUAGGAGAUAUUAAUUGGCUGAGGCCAUCCUUAAAACUAACUACUUUUCAGUUAAGUCCUUUGUUUCAGAUAUUACAAGGAAAUCCUUCUCCAACCUCUCCAUGUCAGCUGAACUUAAAGGCUAGAACAGCCUUUAAAAGGGUUGAAAAUGCAAUUAAAAAUGCACAACUUACUAGAGUUGAUCCUAAGGAAAUAGUGUAUUUAUUAAUAUUUCCAACUGAGCAUACCCCAAAAGGAGCCAUAUGGCAAAGAUUAGGAGUUAUUGAGUGGAUUUAUUUAUCCCACUCCCCUCAAAAAACAUUGAUUCCUUUUCAUGACUCUAUUGGUCAAUUAGUAAUUAAAGGUAGAACUAGGAUUUUACAAUUAAGUGGAUCUGAGCCUGAUAUCAUAAUUAUUCCAUUUUCUGUUCAACAGACUAAUUGGCUUUUUCAAACUUCUAGCUUAUGGCAGAUAGCUUUUGCUGAUUUUCCUGGCCAGAUAGAUAGCCAUUACCCUCAUUAUAAGAUUAUCCAAUUUGCAUCAUUAACGUCACUUAUUUUUCCAAAGAUUGUGCGUGCACGUCCUAUAGAUGAAGCUUUAUCGGUGUUCACUGAUGGUUCAAGCUCAGGUAAAGCAGGUUUUUAUAGUCAUGUUCACACAGAGGUAAUGCAAACUUCACAUACUUCUGCCCAAAGAGCAGAGCUUCAAGCUCUGAUUUGUGCCUUAAAUUACUUUUCAAAUGAGCCUAUUAAUAUUUAUUCUGACAGCUUAUAUGCAGUUGGAGUUACCAAAAAUAUUGAAACUUCAGUUAUUGGGUAUACUUCAUCACAAGAGUUAUUUGAAUUAUUUCAUAAUUUACAGAAGGCAGUGCUAAUGUGAAAAUACCCAUGUUUCAUAGAACACAUACGGGCUCAUACUAAUCUUCCAGGACCUUUAGUUUCAGGUAAUGACAAAAUUGAUAAAUUAGUAGCUUUUUGUCAACAGAUGUCUUCAUAUGACUGUGCACAAGCUUCCCAUUCCUUGCAUCAUCAAAAUGCUUCUAGCUUACGUAAAAAAUUUAAUAUUACCAGAGAACAAGCUCGUCAAAUUGUAAGCCAAUGCCCUAAGUGUGUUAUUCACACUCCAUCUCCACCAUCAGGGGUAAAUCCCUGUGGAUUAAAACCAAAUCAAAUAUGGCAAAUGGAUGUAACUCAUAUUCCUCAAUUUGGUAAGCAAUGUUAUGUACAUGUCAUAGUUGACACAUAUUCCAGAUUUAUUUUUGCCACAGCACGUACUAAGGAAAAUACUCAACAUGUAAUUUCUCAUUGCCCAGCAGCUUUUUCUGUGUUAGGGUGCCCUAUGCAGAUUAAAACAGAUAAUGCACCAGCUUAUGUAAGCUCUUCUUUUCAACAAUUUUGCCAAGAGUUUCAAAUUAAUCAUAAAGCAGGAAUUCCUUAUAACCCCCAAGAUCAAGCCAUUGUGGAAAGAGCUCAUUUAUCUAUUAAGCUUCAAUUACAAAAAUUAAAAGGGGGGAAUAGGUUUAUGACUCCCCCAAAUAGCCUCAAUCAUGCCUUGUUCAUUUUAAAUUUUUUAAACUGUGACAUAGAAGGCCACACUGCGGUUGAGAGGCAAAUGUCUCCCUCAGUAACAGGCCUUUUAGGCAGAGUUUUGUGGAAAGAUUUACAGACUGGUCAAUGGAAAGGCCCAGAUCCAGUGAUUAUGUGGGGCAGAGGUCAUGCUUGUAUUUUUCCAGAAGGUGCUUUUUGUCCUAUCUGGGUGCCUGAACGUGCAAUCAGACAUGGAAGAGAUAGAACCGAGAUUCAAGCGACUGAAGAUCGACCCAGAGAAGCCCCCAUCCAAAAGGAAGAGAUAUUGGAAAAAGACAAAGAUAAACCAGAUUGACCCAGCCAAAAAGCUGAUUUCAUGGGAAGAUGUGAAGAAGCUAAUAACACAGGCUGCCUGAAUAAUUCGACUCCUAGGAAAGAACAGGACCCCAGUCUUGCUGGGCUGCCAGGUAAAGGGGAACCAGAUAGACACUUACUGGACAUAUUUCCCAGAUCCACCCCUGGUACAUCUAGCUGUGUGGACUGGAGAAUCUAUUCCAGUGUUUACUAAUGACUCAUUCAUGAUGGGAGGAUUUACAGAUACUCAUAUUACUCCCAAUCAUGUGACUAGAUUUAAUUAUUCUGGCUACAGUGCCCAAUUACCUUUGUGUUGGUCCCACGAUAAACAUGCUGGCUGGCUGAAAGUAUCAUUCAAGGAAAAGACAGCAAUUGGUAGACCUAGACUGACAAAUUAUUCUAUUUAUGGAGACAUAAAACCUUAUACUAGAUCAGUAAUUAAGAUGGGACUUUCCCAUAACAAGCCAGUCAUUUCUGCAAAACCUCCAUGGAUACCCCACUGUCCAAAUAGUUCUACAAUUGAUAUUGGCACAUUUCCUAGAUGGAUGGAUUGUGUAAAUACUUUUCCUGUACAACAUAAGGUGUCCAAAGAUAGUGGGUAUAUUUUAGACUGGUCUCCAAAAAUUGAUAAAAGACAAUUAUGAAAAAAUUCUGCUAUGACACCUGCAGGAUUUGUUAGUAAUAUUUUGACUUACAGUGAGGGUGGUAUUCAAAAGGAUGUUUGGCGCUUAAUUGCUGCCUCAGAAUUCUUACAUUUUACAGACAAACCUUUACCAAAAUUUGUUGGCAAGAACUAUAAGGAGGGAUCUUGCUAUGGCUUACGAGCCUGUGUCCAAUCUCCUUAUGUUUUAAUUAUUGGAAAUGUAAAAGUUAAAUGGAUAGAUGACAGAUAUAUUGUUACUUGUAACAAAUGUAACCUAACCAAUUGUAUUACUAGGUAUAAUGGAGGAAAAGGAGUGCUGAUACUUCAUCAGCCCUCUUUUGUUUUAUUACCUGCUAAUAUUUCAGAGCCAUGGUUUGCUGAUACUGGUUUAAAAGUCUUGCAGCAAAUUCAUGCCCAGCUAGCAAGACCUAAACGUGCUAUUGGAAUUAUAAUUGUUGGUGUUUUGGCGUUAGUCUCUUUCAUUGCAUCCACUGUUUCUGCGUCUCUGACAUUGUCUCAAAAUAUUCAGCAUGCAAAAUUUCUUAAUAAUUUAGCUCAAAAUACUUCCAAGGCUCUGCGUAAUCAAGUAAAUAUUGAAGAAAGGAUUGAGACUAAAUUAAACGCCUUAGAGGCGACUGUUAUAGACAUAGGUAGUGAACUUUCAGCUUCAAAAUUUAAAGAAAGGCUUAAAUGCCACGCAAAUUAUAAAUAUGUGUGUGUUACAGCUGCCAAGUACAACGCUUCUCUCUGGGAUUGGGAGAAGGUUAAAAACCAUUUGUUAGGUAUUUGGGAAAAUAAUAAUAAUAGCUUGGAUCUUUUGGAACUUCAUCACCAUAUCCAAGACAUUCAAAAUAAUAGAGCUGAUUUUUCGGAUCCUUCUUCUUUGGCUAACCAAAUAUUGAAGGAGUUAAAUGGAUUUAACCCUGGAAAUAUUCUUAAACACUUGGCCUGGUACAUUAUUGGAUUGUUCUCUUUGCUGUUAAUUCUCUUUUGUGUUGUAAUUAUAGGAUGGAGAGUCUUCAGAACAAGAAAGCAGAAACUCAAAAGAGUGAACCACCGCCUGAUUUUUAAGAGAAAAAAGGGAGAAUAUGUGGGAAGCCAUUCUCACACGUCAUUGGGCACCUCCCUGAUUAUGUGUGAGGCAUUCUGGCCAAACUGUGUCGGAGCUAAUCCCCACCCUCUCCAGGUGAAAGAGCCUGUCUGAGUGGGGGUGUGACUGACCAUUGACCCUGAGGCCAAUCACUGACCCUGACCUUGUAAUGCUGCCCCCCCUUGACCUUCAUUGGAUGGAGUUUUUCCCUGAAUUUCUUGUUCCCCAAUAAAAGGCCACUCCCUGGAGUGCUCUCUCUCUCUCUCUCUCUCUCUCUCUCUCUCUCUCUCUCUCUCUCUCUCCUGUUAGUCCUGAAUAAACCUUGCUGCCCCACCAGGUGGCUUGAGGCAGGAGCCAGAGGGGAGAGCCAUCUCGGACCUGGUCA